Molecule: transfer RNA, 74 nt
Filed under: Trichopodus leerii (pearl gourami)
Lineage: Eukaryota; Metazoa; Chordata; Actinopteri; Anabantiformes; Osphronemidae
Description: tRNA-Lys
Rfam family: tRNA
About the family: Transfer RNA (tRNA) molecules are approximately 80 nucleotides in length. Their secondary structure includes four short double-helical elements and three loops (D, anti-codon, and T loops).
Source: RNAcentral
CACUAAGAAGCUAAACGGUCAACAGCGUUAGCCUUUUAAGCUAAAGAAUGGUGACUACCAACCACCCUUAGUGA